Unclassified non-coding RNA from Macaca fascicularis (crab-eating macaque), 148 nucleotides. It matches the Rfam family "Metazoan signal recognition particle RNA". Rfam says of the family: The signal recognition particle (SRP) is a universally conserved ribonucleoprotein. Lineage: Eukaryota; Metazoa; Chordata; Mammalia; Primates; Cercopithecidae. The record is from Ensembl.
GCCAGGUGUGGUGGUGCACACCUGUAAUCUCGGCUACUCAGGAGGCUGAGACAGGAGGAUUGCUUGAGCCCAGGAGGUCGAGGCUGCAGUGAGCCAUGAUCGCGCCACUGUACUCCAGACUGGGCAACAGUGCAAGACCCUGUCUCGU